UACGUAGGGGGCAAGCGUUGUCCGGAAUCAUUGGGCGUAAAGCGCGUGUAGGCGGUCCGGUAAGUCCGCUGUGAAAGUCGGGGGCUCAACCCUCGAAUGCCGGUGGAUACUGUCGGGCUUGAGUGCGGGAGAGGCGAGUGGAAUUCCUGGUGUAGCGGUGAAAUGCGCAGAUAUCAGGAGGAACACCGAUUGCGAAGGCAGCUCGCUGGAACGUUACUGACGCUGAGACGCGAAAGCGUGGGGAGCAAACAGG
RNAcentral lists this ribosomal RNA (253 nucleotides) under uncultured bacterium. RNAcentral's name for it is "partial 16S ribosomal RNA". It matches the Rfam family "Bacterial small subunit ribosomal RNA", at positions 524 to 776 of the family's 1533-position model. The record is from RNAcentral.